RNAcentral lists this transfer RNA (72 nucleotides) under Ovis aries (sheep). It matches the Rfam family "tRNA". Rfam says of the family: Transfer RNA (tRNA) molecules are approximately 80 nucleotides in length. Their secondary structure includes four short double-helical elements and three loops (D, anti-codon, and T loops). Further hydrogen bonds mediate the characteristic L-shaped molecular structure. tRNAs have two regions of fundamental functional importance: the anti-codon, which is responsible for specific mRNA codon recognition, and the 3' end, to which the tRNAs corresponding amino acid is attached (by aminoacyl-tRNA synthetases). tRNAs cope with the degeneracy of the genetic code in two manners: having more than one tRNA (with a specific anti-codon) for a particular amino acid; and 'wobble' base-pairing, i.e. permitting non-standard base-pairing at the 3rd anti-codon position. The record is from Rfam by way of RNAcentral. Lineage: Eukaryota; Metazoa; Chordata; Mammalia; Artiodactyla; Bovidae.
UCCCUGGUGGCUCAGUCAGUAAAGAGUCUGUCUGCAAUGCAGGAGACACAGGUUCAAUCCCUGGUCAGGAAG